This is a long non-coding RNA of Antechinus flavipes (yellow-footed antechinus), 2717 nucleotides long. RefSeq lists it as uncharacterized. NCBI's taxonomy places the organism in Eukaryota, Metazoa, Chordata, Mammalia, Dasyuromorphia, Dasyuridae. The transcript has 2 exons. The record is from RefSeq and is a predicted model, not a curated record.
UCUCUCCUGCUAGGACUUCCUCCUUGCUCUGGGACUGCAACUUAGAACUAUGUAUGGGCAAUACAACAGAAUGCUGAACCCACUGGCAGAAAAGAGUGUCCUGUAAUCUCGUUUUGGCCAAUUUCCUGAUCGUCUUACCAUCUGUGAGCUGUGAGCUCCAAAAGCUUCUACCAUUACCCUCUAGAACUGCUGCUGGCUUGCCAAGACAGACAGAGUCUGUAUUGGACUAUGUUCCAUUCUCACUCCAGGAGACAGACAUUUCCUGCUGAUGUUCUAAGUUUUGGCCUGAAAAAUUGUUUCAUCCCAUCCUUUUGUUUGCUCUGCUUCUCCAGAAUUCAUUUUGAGUCAUUAUUUUAAAGUUGUUUGAAGGGAGUUGAGAGAGUACAGGAUAAAGAUACUAAUGGAUUGAACCUGGAAUAAAUCUAAAUGAGAGUUACAUUUCGAAGAGAAAAGAUCCUUGGGUACUAAUGAAGGAAAAGAUAUUGGAAAACGAGAUGGGAGUGUGACAUCGUGUUUUGUGGCCCUUAACAGCAAGGUGUUUUUGUUUGGUUGGUUAGUUGGUUUUCUGCCUGAAGGUAAGAGAAAUAAAAGACUAAGAUGACAUGUGCAGGUACUUUUUAAAAUUUUAUUUUAUUUUAUAAUAACUUUAUAUUGACAGAAUCCAUGCCAGGGUAAUUUUUUUUUACAACAUUAUCCCUUGCACUCGCUUCUGUUCCGAUUUUUCCCCUCCCUCUCUCCCUCCCUCCACCCCCUCCCCUAGAUGGCAAGCAGUCCUAUAUAUAUUAGAUAUGAUAUGAUAGAUAGAUAUGUGUGCAGGUACUUUCUAAAUUUGGGGCUCUUUAUGCUUUAUUAGAGGGAGAAAACUGCUGUCCUUGGUGCACCUGAAUACAUGUUUUCAAUCUUUUAUCAUCAAUCUGACUGAAGCUAGAAUCCAUCCCAGAUAUUCACUGGUUCCGAGAUGGAAAGAGACUUCUUCCUUUUAUGCCUCUUUUUCCUCCUUCCCAAUUCUCAGCUCCCUACUUGCUAUCCUGCACUGUUUUUCUGCUCUUUCUCUAACAAGAAAUUCUGAAUUCUGUCAACGCUCCAGCAUGAACUCUUUCAACUAAUCCGACUUGUCCCCUCAUGAAAACUAUUGUACGGUUGUGAAUGCCAAACAAAACGAAAUAGAAGCCGAGUUAGAAAGUUAAGUAUCUGUGCAAAAAACUAAGCUUUGAUACUUUACAUUGCACUGUGGCUGAGGGAUCGAAGGUGCUUGAUCAAAAAACGUCCAGCCUGCUUGUGGCCUUGCAUUGAAAUAUUAUUUUUUUAAAUAACUUUUUAUUGAUAGAACCCAUGCCAGGGUAAUUUUUUACAGCAUUAUCCCUUGCACUCACUUCUGUUCCGAUUUUUCCCCUCCCUUCCUCCACCUCCUCCCCCAGAUGGCAAGCAAUCCUUUUCAUGUGUAGAUAGGUUACAGUAUAUCCUAGAUACAAUAUAUGUGUGCAGAACCGAACAGUUUUCUUGUUGCACAGGGAGAAUUGGAUUCAGAAGGAAUAAAUAACCCGGGAAGAAAAACAAAAAUGCAAGCAGUUUAUAUUCAUUUCCCAGUGUUCUUUCUUUGGGUGUAGCUGCUUCUGUCCAUCCUUGAUCAAUUGAAACUGAGUUAGAUCUCUGUCGAAGAAAUCCACUUCCAUCAGAAUACAUCCUCAUAGAGUAUCGUUGUUGAGGUAUAUAACGAUCUCCUGAUUCUGCUCAUUUCACUUAGCAUCAGUUCAUGUAAGUCUCGCCAGUCCUCUCUGUAUUCAUCCCGCUGGUCAUUUCUUACAGAACAAUAAUAUUCCAUAACGUUCAUAUACCUACAAUUUACUCAACCAUUCUCCAAUUGAUGGGCAUCCAUUCAUUUGGAAUAUUAUCUUAAUUAAGUUUUAGAGUCGAUACUAUUCGAGACUCCUUGGGAUUUUAUCAGUUAAAGUAAACUUCAAUGAAGAUGUCUUCUUCGAGGGAAGGAGGGCUCAUAGUUAUGAAAACUUUCUCGAAACGGGAACGAGUUCAAUAGGCAACACUACAUAUAUACCAUAAAGGUAUAGCACCCUCCAAAAUCAAUAAAGAAAUAAAGGGGGACAGGUGGAUGGAGAAGCAAAGGGUGAGGAAAGAAGACAAGGGAGGGGUCUCUAAAUGAGGAGAGGUUAAGUAAUAAUAGUAAGCCAAGUUAUGGAGCAGAAUUUAAUGAGACAGCAAGGGUAUGAAAGACUUGUGUAUGUGUGGUUUGUGUGUGUGUGUGUAUAUGUAUAUCUACAUAUGUAUACAUAAACAUAUCUCUUAACUGUAGCUUACUUGGGGGGGUGGGAUGAAAGAGAUAUGUCUAUAUGUAUAUAUACAUAUGCAUAUAUAAAUAUAUCCUCUCUUUACUAUGGUCCACUUGGUGGGGGUUGGGGGAGGGAGAGGAUAAAAGAGGGAGAAAAAAAGAACAAAGUAAAUAAGGUGUCCAGGAGAGAACAAAAGAACAAUUUAUAAAGAACUAAAAAACAAGACGGACACUCAUGAAUAUAAUUUCUUCUACUAACAUAUAUACUUUCUUAAAUUAGUAUUUGUUGUUAUAUAUUUUGAAUUUUCAUUGAUGUUCCGCUGGGUACAUGACAAUGUUCUCUUUUGUUUUGUUUCGUAUUGCUUUUCUGUUUUUCUUUUUGCUUAUUCUGUUUUUUCAAAUAAAAUAAAUCUGGAAAUUUGAAAAAAAAAAA